RNAcentral lists this ribosomal RNA (592 nucleotides) under uncultured bacterium. Its description in RNAcentral is "bacterial SSU rRNA". It matches the Rfam family "Bacterial small subunit ribosomal RNA", at positions 1 to 564 of the family's 1533-position model. The record is from RNAcentral.
CUCGAGGCCAGAUCUAGAGUUUGAUCCUGGCUGAGGACGAACGCUGGCGGCGUGCCUAAUACAUGCAAGUCGAGCGAAGUUUUUCUGGUGCUUGCACUAGAAAAACUUAGCGGCGAACGGGUGAGUAACACGUAAAGAACCUGCCUCAUAGACGGGGACAACUAUUGGAAACGAUAGCUAAUACCGGAUAACAGCAUAAAUCGCAUGAUAUAUGUUUAAAAGUUGGUUUCAGCUAACACUAUGAGAUGGCUUUGCGGUGCAUUAGCUAGUUGGUGGGGUAAAGGCCUACCAAGGCGACGAUGCAUAGCCGACCUGAGAGGGUGAUCGGCCACACUGGGACUGAGACACGGCCCAGACUCCUACGGGAGGCAGCAGUAGGGAAUCUUCCGCAAUGGGCGAAAGCCUGACGGAGCAACGCCGCGUGUGUGAAGAAGGAUUUCGGUUCGUAAAGCUCUGUUGUUAGGGAAGAAUGAUUGUAUAGUAACUAUAUACAGUAGAGACGGUACCUAACCAGAAAGCCACGGCUAACUACGUGCCAGCAGCCGCGGUAAUACGUAGGUGGCAAGCGUUGUCCGGAAUUAUUGGGCGUAAA